AUACGGAGGAUCCGAGCGUUAUCCGGAUUUAUUGGGUUUAAAGGGAGCGUAGGCGGACGCUUAAGUCAGUUGUGAAAGUUUGCGGCUCAACCGUAAAAUUGCAGUUGAUACUGGGUGUCUUGAGUACAGUAGAGGCAGGCGGAAUUUUGGGGGGUGCGGGGAAAUGCUUAGAUAUCACGAAGAACUCCGAUUGCGAAGGCAGCCUGCUGGACUGUAACUGACGCUGAUGCUCGAAAGUGUGGGUAUCAAACAGGAUUAGAUACCCUGGUAGUCCACACAGUAAACGAUGAAUACUCGCUGUUUGCGAUAUACAGUAAGCGGCCAAGCGAAAGCGUUAAGUAUUCCACCUGGGGAGUACGCCGGCAACGGUGAAACUUAAAGGAAUUGACGGGG
This 393-nucleotide ribosomal RNA is filed under the name uncultured bacterium. RNAcentral describes it as "partial 16S ribosomal RNA". It matches the Rfam family "Bacterial small subunit ribosomal RNA", at positions 523 to 918 of the family's 1533-position model. The record is from RNAcentral.